Molecule: ribosomal RNA, 375 nt
Filed under: uncultured bacterium
Lineage: Bacteria
Description: bacterial SSU rRNA
Rfam family: Bacterial small subunit ribosomal RNA
Source: RNAcentral
UACAGAGGGUGCGAGCGUUAAUCGGAAUUACUGGGCGUAAAGCGCACGUAGGUGGUUUUGUAAGUCGGAUGUGAAAUCCCCGGGCUCAACCCGGGAACUGCAUUCGAGACUGCAUUACUCGAGUAUGGGAGAGGGAAGCGGAAUUUCCGGUGUAGCGGUGAAAUGCGUAGAUAUCGGAAGGAACAUCAGUGGCGAAAGCGGCUUCCUGGCCCAAUACUGACACUCAUGUGCGAAAGCGUGGGGAGCAAACAGGAUUAGAUACCCUGGUAGUCCACGCCAUAAACGAUGAGAACUAGAUGUCGAGAGGGUUAGCCUCACGGUGUCGCAGCUAACGCGUUAAGUUCUCCGCCUGGGGAGUACGGCCGCAAGGUUGAA